RNAcentral lists this ribosomal RNA (433 nucleotides) under uncultured bacterium. RNAcentral's name for it is "partial 16S ribosomal RNA". It matches the Rfam family "Bacterial small subunit ribosomal RNA", at positions 29 to 507 of the family's 1533-position model. The record is from RNAcentral.
AACGAACGCUGGCGGCAUGCCUAACACAUGCAAGUCGAACGAGACCUUCGGGUCUAGUGGCGCACGGGUGCGUAACGCGUGGGAACCUGCCCUUAGGUUCGGAAUAACUCCCCGAAAGGGGUGCUAAUACCGGAUAAUGUCUUCGGACCAAAGAUUUAUCGCCUUUGGAUGGGCCCGCGUUGGAUUAGCUAGUUGGUAGGGUAAAAGCCUACCAAGGCGACGAUCCAUAGCUGGUCUGAGAGGAUGAUCAGCCACACUGGGACUGAGACACGGCCCAGACUCCUACGGGAGGGAGCAGUGGGGAAUAUUGGACAAUGGGCGAAAGCCUGAUCCAGCAAUGCCGCGUGAGUGACGAAGGCCUUAGGGUUGUAAAGCUCUUUUACCCGGGAUGAUAAUGACAGUACCGAGAGAAUAAGCUCCGGCUAACUCCGUG